UCUACAGUGCAUGUGUCUCCAGUUUGUUAGUGAUGCUACUGGAGACCCGGCUCUGUUGGAAU
Molecule: microRNA precursor, 62 nt
Organism: Gadus morhua (Atlantic cod)
Lineage: Eukaryota; Metazoa; Chordata; Actinopteri; Gadiformes; Gadidae
Gene: gmo-mir-139
Product: gmo-mir-139
Source: Ensembl